This 94-nucleotide ribosomal RNA is filed under the name Acanthosepion pharaonis. The record is from RNAcentral. Lineage: Eukaryota; Metazoa; Mollusca; Cephalopoda; Sepiida; Sepiidae.
UAAAAACACCAGUUCCCAUAUGAUAACUGAAGUUAAGCAAUGCCAAGCUUGGCCAGUAUCUAGAUGGGUGAUCACUUGGAAAUACCAGGUGCUA